AACGAACGCUGGCGGCAUGCCUAACACAUGCAAGUCGAACGAGACCUUCGGGUCUAGUGGCGCACGGGUGCGUAACGCGUGGGAACCUGCCUUUAGGUUCGGAAUAACUCAGAGAAAUUUGAGCUAAUACCGGAUGAUGUCUUCGGACCAAAGAUUUAUCGCCUUUAGAUGGGCCCGCGUAAGAUUAGCUAGUUGGUGGGGUAAAGGCCUACCAAGGCGACGAUCUUUAGCUGGUCUGAGAGGAUGAUCAGCCACACUGGGACUGAGACACGGCCCAGACUCCUACGGGAGGCAGCAGUGGGGAAUAUUGGACAAUGGGCGAAAGCCUGAUCCAGCAAUGCCGCGUGAGUGAUGAAGGCCUUCGG
Molecule: ribosomal RNA, 365 nt
Filed under: uncultured bacterium
Lineage: Bacteria
Description: bacterial SSU rRNA
Rfam family: Bacterial small subunit ribosomal RNA
Source: RNAcentral